RNAcentral lists this ribosomal RNA (460 nucleotides) under uncultured bacterium. Its description in RNAcentral is "partial 16S ribosomal RNA". It matches the Rfam family "Bacterial small subunit ribosomal RNA", at positions 338 to 795 of the family's 1533-position model. The record is from RNAcentral.
CCUACGGGAGGCAGCAGUGAGGAAUAUUGGUCAAUGGCCGGAAGGCUGAACCAGCCAUGCCGCGUGAAGGGCAGGGCCCUAUGGGCGUUAAACUUCUUUUGUGCGGGAGCAAUAAUGGUCACGUGUGGCCAGACGAGAGUACCGUACGAAUAAGCAUCGGCUAACUCCGUGCCAGCAGCCGCGGUAAUACGGGGGAUGCAAGCGUUAUCCGGAUUUAUUGGGUUUAAAGGGUGCGUAGGCUGUGAGGUAAGUCAGCGGUGAAAUGCCCCCGCUCAACGGGGUGAAGUGCCAUUGAUUCUGCCGUGCUGGAAUGCGGAUGCCGUGGGAGGAAUGUGUGGUGUAGCGGUGAAAUGCAUAGAUAUCACACAGAACACCGAUUGCGAAGGCAUCUCACGAAUCCGCGAUUGACGCUGAUGCACGAAAGCGUGGGUAUCAAACAGGAUUAGAUACCCUAGUAGUC